This 496-nucleotide ribosomal RNA is filed under the name uncultured bacterium. Its description in RNAcentral is "partial 16S ribosomal RNA". It matches the Rfam family "Bacterial small subunit ribosomal RNA", at positions 28 to 507 of the family's 1533-position model. The record is from RNAcentral.
GAUGAACGCUGGCGGCGUGCCUAAUACAUGCAAGUCGAGCGAACAGACGAGGAGCUUGCUCCUCUGACGUUAGCGGCGGACGGGUGAGUAACACGUGGAUAACCUACCUAUAAGACUGGAUAACUUCGGGAAACCGGAGCUAAUACCGGAUAAUAUAUUGAACCGCAUGGUUCAAUAGUGAAAGACGGUUUUGCUGUAUCUUAUAGAUGGAUCCGCGCCGGAUUAGCUAGUUGGUAAGGUAACGGCUUACCAAGGCAACGAUGCGUAGCCGACCUGAGAGGAUGAUCGGCCACACUGGAACUGAGACACGGUCCAGACUCCUACGGGAGGCAGCAGUAGGGAAUCUUGCGCAAUGGGCGAAAGCCUGACGGAGCAACGCCGCGUGAGUGAUGAAGGUCUUCGGAUCGUAAAACUCUGUUAUUAGGGAAGAACAAAUGUGUAAGUAACUAUGCACGUCUUGACGGUACCUAAACAGAAAGCCACGGCUAACUACGUG